Molecule: ribosomal RNA, 864 nt
Filed under: uncultured bacterium
Lineage: Bacteria
Description: bacterial SSU rRNA
Rfam family: Bacterial small subunit ribosomal RNA
Source: RNAcentral
AGAGUUUGAUCAUGGCUCAGGACGAACGCUGGCGGCGUGCCUAAUACACUGCAAGUAGAACGCUGAAGACUGGUGCUUGCACUAGUCAGAUGAGUUGCGAACGGGUGAGUAACGCGUAGGUAACCUACCUCAUAGCGGGGGAUAACUAUUGGAAACGAUAGCUAAUACCGCAUGACAAUUAAGUACUCAUGUACUAAAUUUAAAAGGAGCAAUUGCUUCACUAUGAGAUGGACCUGCGUUGUAUUAGCUAGUUGGUGAGGUAACGGCUCACCAAGGCCACGAUACAUAGCCGACCUGAGAGGGUGAUCGGCCACACUGGGACUGAGACACGGCCCAGACUCCUACGGGAGGCAGCAGUAGGGAAUCUUCGGCAAUGGGGGCAACCCUGACCGAGCAACGCCGCGUGAGUGAAGAAGGUUUUCGGAUCGUAAAGCUCUGUUGUUAGAGAAGAACGGUAAUGGGAGUGGAAAAUCCAUUACGUGACGGUAACUAACCAGAAAGGGACGGCUAACUACGUGCCAGCAGCCGCGGUAAUACGUAGGUCUCGAGCGUUGUCCGGAUUUAUUGGGCGUAAAGCGAGCGCAGGCGGUUAUUUAAGUCUGAAGUUAAAGGCCGUGGCUCAACCAUGGUUCGCUUUGGAAACUGGAUAACUUGAGUGCAGAAGGGGAGAGUGGAAUUCCAUGUGUAGCGGUGAAAUGCGUAGAUAUAUGGAGGAACACCGGUGGCGAAAGCGGCUCUCUGGUCUGUAACUGACGCUGAGGCUCGAAAGCGUGGGGAGCAAACAGGAUUAGAUACCCUGGUAGUCCACGCCGUAAACGAUGAGUGCUAGGUGUUAGGCCCUUUCCGGGGCUUAGUGCCGCAGCU